GACGAACGCUGGCGGCGUGCUUAACACAUGCAAGUCGAACGGAAAGGCCCUGCUUUUGUGGGGUGCUCGAGUGGCGAACGGGUGAGUAACACGUGAGUAACCUGCCCUUGACUUUGGGAUAACUUCAGGAAACUGGGGCUAAUACCGGAUAGGAGCUCCUGCUGCAUGGUGGGGGUUGGAAAGUUUCGGCGGUUGGGGAUGGACUCGCGGCUUAUCAGCUUGUUGGUGGGGUAGUGGCUUACCAAGGCUUUGACGGGUAGCCGGCCUGAGAGGGUGACCGGCCACAUUGGGACUGAGAUACGGCCCAGACUCCUACGGGAGGCAGCAGUGGGGAAUAUUGCACAGUGGGCGGAAGCCUGAUGCAGCAACGCCGCGUGCGGGAUGACGGCCUUCGGGUUGUAAACCGCUUUCGCCUGUGACGCAGCGUGAGUGACGGUAAUGGGUAAAGAAGCACCGGCUAACUACGUG
RNAcentral lists this ribosomal RNA (468 nucleotides) under uncultured bacterium. Its description in RNAcentral is "partial 16S ribosomal RNA". It matches the Rfam family "Bacterial small subunit ribosomal RNA", at positions 28 to 507 of the family's 1533-position model. The record is from RNAcentral.